RNAcentral lists this ribosomal RNA (414 nucleotides) under uncultured microorganism. Its description in RNAcentral is "bacterial SSU rRNA". It matches the Rfam family "Archaeal small subunit ribosomal RNA", at positions 459 to 872 of the family's 1478-position model. The record is from RNAcentral.
CAGCCGCCGCGGUAAUACCGGCGGCCCGAGUGGCGGCCACUCUUAUUGGGCUUAAAGCGUCCGUAGCCGGGUUGGUUAGUCUCCCGGGAAAUCUGGCCGCUUAACGGUCAGAAUUCCGGGGGAUACUGCCAGCCUAGGGACCGGGAGAGGCCGAGGGGAUUCCCGGAGUAGGGGUGAAAUCCUAUAAUCCCGGGAGGACCACCUGUGGCGAAGGCGCUCGGCUGGAACGGGUCCGACGGGGAGGGACGAAGGCCAGGGGAGCAAACCGGAUUACAUACCCGGGUAGUCCGGGCUGUAAACGAUGCGGACUUUGUGUCGGACAAGCUAUGAGCUUGUCCGGUGCCGGAGGGAAACCGUUAAGUCCGCCGCCUGGGGAGUACGGCCGCAAGGCUGAAACUUAAAGGAAUUGGCGGG